UGGGGAAUAUUGGACAAUGGGCGAAAGCCUGAUCCAGCCAUGCCGCGUGAGUGAUGAAGGCCUUAGGGUUGUAAAGCUCUUUUGCCAGGGAAGAUGAUGACGGUACCUGGAGAAUAAGCACCGGCUAACUUCGUGCCAGCAGCCGCGGUAAUACGAAGGGUGCUAGCGUUGUUCGGAAUCACUGGGCGUAAAGCGUGCGUAGGCGGCUAUUCAAGUCAGGGGUGAAAUCCUGGGGCUCAACCCUAGAAUUGCCUUUGAAACUAAAUAGCUAGAGUACUGGAGGGGAUAGCGGAAUUCCUAAUGUAGAGGUGAAAUUCGUAGAUAUUAGGAGGAACACCGGUGGCGAAGGCGGCUAUCUGGACAGUAACUGACGCUCUGGCACGAAAGCGUGGGUAUCAAACAGG
RNAcentral lists this ribosomal RNA (404 nucleotides) under uncultured bacterium. Its description in RNAcentral is "bacterial SSU rRNA". It matches the Rfam family "Bacterial small subunit ribosomal RNA", at positions 355 to 776 of the family's 1533-position model. The record is from RNAcentral.